Molecule: ribosomal RNA, 402 nt
Filed under: bacterium
Lineage: Bacteria
Description: partial 16S ribosomal RNA
Rfam family: Bacterial small subunit ribosomal RNA
Source: RNAcentral
UGGGGAAUUUUGCACAAUGGGGGAAACCCUGAUGCAGCGACGACGCGUGAUUUAGAAGGCCUUCGGGUUGUAAAAAUCUUUUCUAUGGGAAGAAAAUGACAGUACCAUAGGAAUAAGGACCGGCUAAUUACGUGCCAGCAGCCGCGGUAAUACGUAAGGUCCGAGCGUUGUCCGGAAUCAUUGGGCGUAAAGGGUACGUAGGCGGGUAAGCAAGUUAGAAGUGAAAUCCUAUAGCUCAACUAUAGUAAGCUUUUAAAACUGCUCAUCUUGAGGUAUGGAAGGGAAAGUGGAAUUCCUAGUGUAGCGGUGAAAUGCGCAGAUAUUAGGAGGAAUACCGGUGGCGAAAGCGACUUUCUGGCCAUAACCUGACGCUGAGGUACGAAAGCGUGGGUAGCAAACAGG